RNAcentral lists this long non-coding RNA (208 nucleotides) under Capsicum annuum. Its description in RNAcentral is "long non-coding RNA (CANN_LNC020552)". The record is from RNAcentral. Lineage: Eukaryota; Viridiplantae; Streptophyta; Magnoliopsida; Solanales; Solanaceae.
GUAGGACUGUAUCGAUAGGUAGGAGACGCUAGUCAGGAGAGACUAGGUGUGGCUUUGGUCUGUGAGUGUAGGUUACUACUAGGUGGGUACCCUAUUCCAGAUUUCGUUUUUCUUAUUUCUUAUAGCUUAUGACUCUUAGUUCCCCUAUCCUGUAUUGCUCUGAGUUCUAUUUUACUAUUUAUGAUUCCUUACUUCUGUUAAUCCACCC